CCCAGACUCCUACGGGAGGCAGCAGUGGGGAAUAUUGCACAAUGGGGGAAACCCUGAUGCAGCAACGCCGCGUGAGUGAAGAAGUAUUUCGGUAUGUAAAGCUCUAUCAGCAGGGAAGAAGAAAGACGGUACCUGACUAAGAAGCCCCGGCUAACUACGUGCCAGCAGCCGCGGUAAUACGUAGGGGGCAGGCGUUAUCCGGAUUUACUGGGUGUAAAGGGGGCGCAGACGGCAGCGCAAGCCAGGAGUGAAAGCCCGGGGCCCAACCCCGGGACUGCUCUUGGAACUGCGCGGCUGGAGUGCAGGAGGGGCAGGCGGAAUUCCUGGUGUAGCGGUGAAAUGCGUAGAUAUCAGGAGGAACACCGGUGGCGAAGGCGGCCUGCUGGACUGCGACUGACGUUGAGGCCCGAAAGCGUGGGGAGCAAACAGGAUUAGAUACCCUGGUAC
This 447-nucleotide ribosomal RNA is filed under the name uncultured bacterium. Its description in RNAcentral is "partial 16S ribosomal RNA". It matches the Rfam family "Bacterial small subunit ribosomal RNA", at positions 330 to 793 of the family's 1533-position model. The record is from RNAcentral.